AAUUUGCUCUUCAACUUGUUCACAGAUCUGCUCACUGACUGACUUCACUUUCUCAUUUAUGCUUACAGGAUGGUGAAAAACAUGAUGGAUUGCUUCUGCGGGAACAUCAUGUCAGGAACUACGGCUCUGGCUGUUCUGGAGAAGUUGGCUGGAGAGAAUAAGUAAUGCCCAGUCAAUAUAUUUAGUCCCACUUCACUCCUGCCGCCCUCUGAGGCCACGAACGUGAUGGAUUCUAGCGAGAGCAUGGAGAGGAACAGCUCCCUCAGAGAAAGCCUGUUCAUGACCCACCCAGGACCCAAUCACACGCCCAUACAUCACAGCCCAACAUAUUAAACUGAGACGUAUUCAGAUUCACUCGGAUCAAUAGCCGAGGCCCUCGGAGAAUGCAAAACGAACAGGUUUCAGACCAAACCAUCCAUCACAGUUCAGCGUCCCGUCAGUCGUCUCUUUCACGAUCCAUUCAGCCUGUAAUCAAAGCUCAACACUGGAGAGCGUAGUGGAUCAUUCUGUGGGUUUUAGCUGUCUUUCACAUGAUUAGUUGUUGCUGAGAAUAUUCCAUAUUUAUUGGUGGAUCUAGAGCUGCAGACAGGAUCAAGGACUGAUGAUUUAGUACCCAUCAGAAGUCCUGAUGCUUAGAUGAUGCAUGGGGUGCAGUAGUUUAGUUUGCAAGAUUGCAAGUUUUUCCUGUCAGGGCAAAGGUCUUGUUAGUGUGGACAGUAAGCGAGCGAACCCGGGGGUAUCCUGACAGAUCAUCCCCAAAGACAGUGAAAAUUGGUUUCGAGUUCAAUUCAGAGAGAAGUUUGCCGAUGUUUUCGCUGCACCCUUUGAGCAUUUGCUGGGAAAUAUAUCGGUAUCCAGCCUAGAUCUGCUCCCCUCCCUGAUAUCUGUGAUUGGGGCGAUGUGUCGGGAUGAAGUGAUCAGCAGAAAGCUGGGAAGCCGAGAAGAAUUUUGGAGGAGGUCCUUCAGUGCCGUGGGACGUUGUGCUGACUGUGAAUACAGACGCGUUCUCUAUCCCCUCCUGGGCCUGAUGAUCAACGUAUCCCAUAAUCCUGCUCCUGUCAUCCGAGAGCAUGCUGUGGAGAUCUGCAGCAGGUGUGUGGUGCUGCUGAGUGAUGCUGAUGGAGGCAUCAUCACGGUGAGUGAUGUGAUUGGUGUGGUUUUAUACAGGUAAAGGUGAUACAAAACACAGCCCUCA
This 1195-nucleotide long non-coding RNA is filed under the name Astyanax mexicanus (Mexican tetra). Its description in RNAcentral is "lncRNA (ENSAMXG00005001671.1)". The record is from RNAcentral. Lineage: Eukaryota; Metazoa; Chordata; Actinopteri; Characiformes; Acestrorhamphidae.